AUGGGCAUUUUACAGCAAGUGGACAGGUUUCUAAGAUCAAGGAGUGGUUAAGGAGAUUAAGAAACUUCUGUAAAUAAGUGAAGUUUAUUCAAAGAAUGAAAACAUGAAGCAGGAUUACCUGGUUAGCAAAAAUAAGGUACAGCAGAGCUUUCUUGCGCUCAGAGACAAUGGAUAGCACUUCGGCACGACACGUGGGGCAAUUUAGAAAAGUAAAAUCAUCAACAAAAGGCACAAAAGUGGAAGAACUGUGGCACUUAAACAGACCACAGAAAGGACACUUGCUUGCGGGAUGAGAGGUAAAACGAAAAGAAUUAAAGUAGCAGUUGCGAGUGGGUCCAGAGAAGAGUCAAGCAACGUAAGGAUGGUGAUUACUCUCAGUAGGUAAUGAAGCACAAAUACAUGGUAUUGGUACCUUAACUGAAGAAAUGCGGGUAAUAAAUUAAGCCAUUCUCACAGUAUUUCUCAGGAUGACUGCUUGUUUUCACACUGAUACAAGGUUC
Long non-coding RNA from Camelus dromedarius (Arabian camel), 500 nucleotides. RefSeq lists it as uncharacterized. The transcript has 4 exons. Lineage: Eukaryota; Metazoa; Chordata; Mammalia; Artiodactyla; Camelidae. The record is from RefSeq and is a predicted model, not a curated record.